RNAcentral lists this ribosomal RNA (253 nucleotides) under uncultured bacterium. Its description in RNAcentral is "partial 16S ribosomal RNA". It matches the Rfam family "Bacterial small subunit ribosomal RNA", at positions 524 to 776 of the family's 1533-position model. The record is from RNAcentral.
GACGAACCGUGCGAACGUUGUUCGGAUUCACUGGGCUUAAAGGGCGCGUAGGCGGACAAGCAAGUCAGGCGUGAAAGCCCCGGGCUUAACCUGGGAAUUGCGCUUGAUACUGAUGCGCUAGAGAGCGGGAGAGGAUGGCGGAAUUCCCAGUGUAGAGGUGAAAUUCGUAGAUAUUGGGAAGAACACCGGUGGCGAAGGCGGCCAUCUGGACCGUAUCUGACGCUGAGGCGCGAAAGCGUGGGGAGCAAACAGG